UGGUGACUGGUGAGAUGUGAAAGGAGCCACU
Molecule: non-coding RNA, 31 nt
Filed under: Mus musculus (house mouse)
Lineage: Eukaryota; Metazoa; Chordata; Mammalia; Rodentia; Muridae
Source: RNAcentral